GAGAGCCGGAUGCGGGGAAACUCGCACGUCCGGUUCGGAGAGGGGGAUGGCGAAACCUGACCCGGCAACGGGCCAAGGCGCGUCAUCCCUACUCUAC
RNAcentral lists this non-coding RNA (97 nucleotides) under Phaeovulum veldkampii DSM 11550. Lineage: Bacteria; Pseudomonadati; Pseudomonadota; Alphaproteobacteria; Rhodobacterales; Paracoccaceae. The record is from RNAcentral.